GACGAACGCUGGCGGCGUGCCUAAUACAUGCAAGUAGAACGCACAGUUUAUACCGUAGCUUGCUACACCAUAGACUGUGAGUUGCGAACGGGUGAGUAACGCGUAGGUAACCUGCCUGGUAGCGGGGGAUAACUAUUGGAAACGAUAGCUAAUACCGCAUAAUAUUAAUUAUUGCAUGAUAAUUAAUUGAAAUGUGCAAUUGCACCACUACCAGAUGGACCUGCGUUGUAUUAGCUAGUAGGUGAGGUAACGGCUCACCUAGGCGACGAUACAUAGCCGACCUGAGAGGGUGAUCGGCCACACUGGGACUGGAACACGGCCCAGACCCCUACGGGAGGCAGCAGUAGGGAAUCUUCGGCAAAGGACGAAAGGCUGACCGAGGAAAGCCGCGUGAGGGAAGAAGGGUUUCGGAUCGUAAAGAUCUGUUGUAAGAGAAGAAAGGGUGUGAGAGUGGAAAGUUCACACUGUGACGGUAUCUUACCAGAAAGGGACGGCUAACUACGUG
Molecule: ribosomal RNA, 505 nt
Filed under: uncultured bacterium
Lineage: Bacteria
Description: partial 16S ribosomal RNA
Rfam family: Bacterial small subunit ribosomal RNA
Source: RNAcentral